RNAcentral lists this ribosomal RNA (565 nucleotides) under Pichia kudriavzevii. RNAcentral describes it as "partial large subunit ribosomal RNA". It matches the Rfam family "Eukaryotic large subunit ribosomal RNA", at positions 84 to 662 of the family's 3401-position model. The record is from RNAcentral. Lineage: Eukaryota; Fungi; Ascomycota; Pichiomycetes; Pichiales; Pichiaceae.
UAACCGGCGAGUGAAGCGGCAAGAGCUCAGAUUUGAAAUCUGGCUUUGCGGCACACUUGUAGAAAUUGCAGGUUGGAGCUCUGUGUGGAAGGCGGUGUCCAAGAUCCCUUGGAAACAGGGCGCCCAGGAGGGUGAGAGCCCCGUGGGAUGCCGGCGGAAGCAGUGAGGCCCUUCUGACGAGUCGAGUUGUUUGGGAAUGCAGCUCCCAGCGGGUGGUAAAUUCCAUCUAAGGCUAAAUACUGGCGAGAGACCGAUAGCGAACAAGUACUGUGAAGGAAAGAUGAAAAGCACUUUGAAAAGAGAGUGAAACAGCACGUGAAAUUGUUGAAAGGGAAGGGUAUUGCGCCCGACAUGGGGAUUGCGCACCGCUGCCUCUCGUGGGCGGCGCUCUGGGCUUUCCCUGGGCCAGCAUCGGUUCUUGCUGCAGGAGAAGGGGUUCUGGAACGUGGCUCUUCGGAGUGUUAUAGCCAGGGCCAGAUGCUGCGUGCGGGGACCGAGGACUGCGGCCGUGUAGGAACCUCACGGAUGCUGGCAGAACGGCGCAACACCGCCCGUCUUGAAUUCC